RNAcentral lists this ribosomal RNA (21 nucleotides) under Boletus rubriceps. Its description in RNAcentral is "partial 28S ribosomal RNA". The record is from RNAcentral. Lineage: Eukaryota; Fungi; Basidiomycota; Agaricomycetes; Boletales; Boletaceae.
GAACGCGCAGGGUUAGGACCA